GGAGGCGUCGCAUAGUGGUCGAGUGCGCUCGCUUGGAAAGCGAGUGGAGCGAAAGUUCUCGAGAGUUCGAAUCUCUCCGCCUCCG
This 85-nucleotide transfer RNA is filed under the name Candidatus Moraniibacteriota bacterium. Its description in RNAcentral is "tRNA-Ser". It matches the Rfam family "tRNA". Rfam says of the family: Transfer RNA (tRNA) molecules are approximately 80 nucleotides in length. Lineage: Bacteria; Candidatus Moraniibacteriota. The record is from RNAcentral.